CCAAAAUGGCGGAGUAGAGGAGAUACAGUUUCUGGCUGCUCUGUGCAUGAAUCCGAGAAAACUUUAUUCAGAUGGCUUCUCCACGGGCUUUCACCCUGAUGGAUUACAGUAUCUCAGAGCAUGUGACAGGACCCCAUACAGAAGAUUUUCUCAGAAUCCACCAGAGCUGCGAACACCAAGCAGAACUCUGAGCCUCUGUGUUCCGGUGAGACUCUAGACUUGGGUCCCCAAGGCCGCAGUUUGAGCACAGGCGUGGCUCUCAAGAGGGAGAGCAGAAACACCAAAUCAGCACCUCGGCAGAGCGGCAGACUCCAGACUACGCUCCGCUCCCACACAGGUCACCCGACUGCGUUCUAGCCACAGCACGAGGACAUCCCAGCUGUCCCACCUCACCAGACACCCCACCUCACCAGACACCCCAAGGUGGGAAACAGACGAACUCCAUCUUGGAAAACUUUUCUCACCAUCUUUCUGUGGGAGUGGCUACCAGCGCAGAUCUGGAUCUGCUACUGAACAGGUACCUGGUUUCCAACUCUCCCCAGCUGUGAUAACUCGGCACAGUGAGUAUCAGCACAAAAUAAGCUCUCAGUAGAACAGGAGCGCAGUCCGGCCAGGGUGCUGCCCACCUGGCACUAUCUGAGGAUGGAGGGCAAGAGGGCGGAGGGCAAGAGGUCCCACAGCUGAGACCUGAUAAGCAAGGUAGGGGAGGAAUCUAAAAACUGGGAGCAACUCAGAAAGACCAAGAUUAGGAAAGCUCCAGGCAAGAGAGGGAGAGCUCUAGUCUUCUCACACCAGUUACCUACACCACCCUGAGGGCAGAGACUCAAGCUUGGAAUAGACAACUCCACCUACUGGAAGAGAAGAGAAGAAAACUAAAAUCUAAGAGUAUUUUUGUUUGUUUGGUUUUUGAUUUUGUUUUUGUUCGUUUU
This 929-nucleotide long non-coding RNA is filed under the name Marmota monax (woodchuck). Lineage: Eukaryota; Metazoa; Chordata; Mammalia; Rodentia; Sciuridae. The record is from RNAcentral.